RNAcentral lists this transfer RNA (83 nucleotides) under Cenarchaeum sp. SB0661_bin_35. RNAcentral's name for it is "tRNA-Leu". It matches the Rfam family "tRNA". From Rfam's summary of the family: Transfer RNA (tRNA) molecules are approximately 80 nucleotides in length. Their secondary structure includes four short double-helical elements and three loops (D, anti-codon, and T loops). The record is from RNAcentral. RNAcentral also lists the same sequence under 7 other names. Lineage: Archaea; Thermoproteati; Nitrososphaerota; Candidatus Cenarchaeales; Candidatus Cenarchaeaceae.
GGUGCAGUAGUCUAGUCAGGUAAGGCGGUGAUCUUAAGAAUCACUUCAUAACCGUGUCGGGGGUUCAAAUCCCUCCUGCACCG